AUUCUUCCAUCAUGGACACUAAUAAACAUCUUUGAAGUUGCCAUAAAAGGUCUUCCAAGAAUCAUUGGAAUCCUUUCAUCAUUUUCCAUGCCUAUGACUAUAAAAUCAACCAAGAACUCUAGUUGCUCCACACACACAAUCACAUUCUCCACUAUACCAAGUGGUUCUUCUGUAGAACCAUCUGCCACUGUCACAGUAAGGUUUGACGGUUUGAAUACUAGCCCUCCAAUUUUCUUUAAGAAACGCUCAGGCAUCAUAUUAAUGCUAGAUCCAGAAUCUAUCAUGGCUCCUCCUACAUCGACAUCAUUCACAACACAUGAAAGGGUCAAACAACCUGGAUCUUUUACCUUAGGUGGAUAAUUCUUCUUUUGAGGUUGAAUAUCAAAUUCCUAUUCCUCUUCAUCAAGAUCUUUUACCUUAGGCGGAUAAUUCUUCUUUUGAGGUUGGAUCACUGAAGGCACUACAGUCACAUAGUUAAUAAUUUCUCUAGACUGCCCAUUGUGACCGUCUCUUACCUCCUCUUCUUCCUCACCUUCACUACUUCUAGCUCAAUAAUUUCUUUUUCCUCUUCUUCAUCUUCACUACUCCCAAUUUCCACAACUUCCCUGUCCACUUUCCUUUUCCUCCUAGUAACAACAGCUUUACACUCCUCUUUAGGGUUAACAUCAGUAUUAGCCCUAAAUUGGUUCUUCUCAAUCGUUUCUACCCUAUUUGACAACUGACCAAUUUGCAUCUCCAAGGAUCUG
RNAcentral lists this long non-coding RNA (746 nucleotides) under Vigna radiata. RNAcentral's name for it is "long non-coding RNA (VRAD_LNC017182)". The record is from RNAcentral. Lineage: Eukaryota; Viridiplantae; Streptophyta; Magnoliopsida; Fabales; Fabaceae.